This 508-nucleotide ribosomal RNA is filed under the name uncultured bacterium. Its description in RNAcentral is "partial 16S ribosomal RNA". It matches the Rfam family "Bacterial small subunit ribosomal RNA", at positions 28 to 523 of the family's 1533-position model. The record is from RNAcentral.
GAUGAACGCUAGCUACAGGCUUAACACAUGCAAGUCGAGGGGAAACGAUAUUGGAAGCUUGCUUCCGAUAGGCGUCGACCGGCGCACGGGUGAGUAACGCGUAUCCAACCUGCCCACCACUUGGGGAUAACCUUGCGAAAGUAAGACUAAUACCCAAUGAUAUCUCUAGAAGACAUCUGAAGGAGAUUAAAGAUUUAUCGGUGAUGGAUGGGGAUGCGUCUGAUUAGCUUGUUGGCGGGGUAACGGCCCACCAAGGCUACGAUCAGUAGGGGUUCUGAGAGGAAGGCCCCCCACAUUGGAACUGAGACACGGUCCAAACUCCUACGGGAGGCAGCAGUGAGGAAUAUUGGUCAAUGGGCGAGAGCCUGAACCAGCCAAGUAGCGUGCAGGAUGACGGCCCUAUGGGUUGUAAACUGCUUUUAUAAGGGAAUAAAGUGAGCCUCGUGAGGCUUUUUGCAUGUACCUUAUGAAUAAGGACCGGCUAAUUCCGUGCCAGCCGCCGCAGUAA